Molecule: ribosomal RNA, 468 nt
Filed under: uncultured bacterium
Lineage: Bacteria
Description: partial 16S ribosomal RNA
Rfam family: Bacterial small subunit ribosomal RNA
Source: RNAcentral
GACGAACGCUGGCGGCGUGCUUAACACAUGCAAGUCGAACGGAAAGGCCCUGCUUUUGUGGGGUGCUCGAGUGGCGAACGGGUGAGUAGCACGUGAGUAACCUGCCCUUGACUUUGGGAUAACUUCAGGAAACUGGGGCUAAUACCGGAUAGGAGCUCCUGCUGCAUGGUGGGGGUUGGAAAGUUUCGGCGGUUGGGGAUGGACUCGCGGCCUAUCAGCUUGUUGGUGGGGUAGUGGCUUACCAAGGCUUUGACGGGUAGCCGGCCUGAGAGGGUGACCGGCCACAUUGGGACUGAGAUACGGCCCAGACUCCUACGGGAGGCAGCAGUGGGGAAUAUUGCACAAUGGGCGGAAGCCUGAUGCAGCAACGCCGCGUGCGGGAUGACGGCCUUCGGGUUGUAAACCGCUUUCGCCUGUGACGAAGCGUGAGUGACGGUAAUGGGUAAAGAAGCACCGGCUAACUACGUG